GACGAACGCUGGCGGCGUGCUUAACACAUGCAAGUCGAACGGAAAGGCCCUGCUUUUGUGGGGUGCUCGAGUGGCGAACGGGUGAGUAACACGUGAGUAACCUGCCCUUGACUUUGGGAUAACUUCAGGAAACUGGGGCUAAUACCGGAUAGGAGCUCCUGCUGCAUGGUGGGGGUUGGAAAGUUUCGGCGGUUGGGGAUGGACUCGCGGCUUAUCAGCCUGUUGGUGGGGUAGUGGCUUACCAAGGCUUUGACGGGUAGCCGGCCUGAGAGGGUGACCGGCCACCUUGGGACUGAGAUACGGCCCAGACUCCUACGGGAGGCAGCAGUGGGGAAUAUUGCACAAUGGGCGGAAGCCUGAUGCAGCAACGCCGCGUGCGGGAUGACGGCCUUCGGGUUGUAAACCGCUUUCGCCUGUGACGAAGCGUGAGUGACGGUAAUGGGUAAAGAAGCACCGGCUAACUACGUG
RNAcentral lists this ribosomal RNA (468 nucleotides) under uncultured bacterium. RNAcentral describes it as "partial 16S ribosomal RNA". It matches the Rfam family "Bacterial small subunit ribosomal RNA", at positions 28 to 507 of the family's 1533-position model. The record is from RNAcentral.